RNAcentral lists this ribosomal RNA (462 nucleotides) under uncultured bacterium. RNAcentral describes it as "partial 16S ribosomal RNA". It matches the Rfam family "Bacterial small subunit ribosomal RNA", at positions 28 to 506 of the family's 1533-position model. The record is from RNAcentral.
GAUGAACGCUGACAGAAUGCUUAACACAUGCAAGUCGAUGGGGAAGUGGUGCUUGCACCCUGGUAACCAUGGCGGACGGGUGAGUAACGCGUAAGGAACUUGCCUGCGGGACUGGGAUAACAGCAGGAAACUGCUGAUAAUACCGGAUAAGGUCAUUAAGCUGCAUAGCUUAGUGAUGAAAGGAGACGCCUGCGGAGAGCCUUGCGUCCUAUUAGCUAGUUGGAGGGGUAACGGCCCACCAAGGCGAAGAUAGGUAGCCGGCCUGAGAGGGUGGACGGCCACAAGGGGACUGAGAUACGGCCCUUACUCCUACGGGAGGCAGCAGUGGGGAAUAUUGGACAAUGGGGGCAACCCUGAUCCAGCAAUUCUGUGUGCACGAAGACGGUUUUCGGAUUGUAAAGUGCUUUCAGCAGGGAAGAAGGAAGUGACGGUACCUGCAGAAGAAGCGACGGCGAAAUACGU